UACCCUUGACAUCCUGCGAACCUGGCCGAGAGGCUGGGGUGCCGCAAGGAACGCAGAGACAGGUGCUGCAUGGCUGUCGUCAGCUCGUGUUGUGAGAUGUUGGGUUAAGUCCCGUAACGAGCGCAACCCUUGUGCUUAGUUGCCACCAUUAAGUUGGGGACUCUAAGGAGACUGCCGGUGAAGAACCGGAGGAAGGCGGGGACGACGUCAAGUCAUCAUGGCCUUUAUGGGUAGGGCUACACACGUGCUACAAUGGGGCGUACAGAGGGUAGCGAAAGCGCGAGCUGGAGCCAAUCUCAAAAAGCGCCUCGUAGUCCGGAUUGGAGUCUGGAACUCGACUCCAUGAAGUUGGAAUCGCUAGUAAUCGCGAAUCAGCAACGUCGCGGUGAAUACGUUCCCGGGCC
RNAcentral lists this ribosomal RNA (404 nucleotides) under uncultured bacterium. Its description in RNAcentral is "bacterial SSU rRNA". It matches the Rfam family "Bacterial small subunit ribosomal RNA", at positions 976 to 1380 of the family's 1533-position model. The record is from RNAcentral.